AUACGGAGGGUGCAAGCGUUACUCGGAAUCACUGGGCGUAAAGCGCGCGCAGGCGGUCUUUUAAGUUGGAUGUGAAAGCCUACGGCUCAACCGUAGAACUGCAUCCAAAACUAUUAGACUAGAGUGUGGGAGAGGAAGAUGGAAUUUGUUGUGUAGGGGUAAAAUCCGUAGAGAUAACUAGGAAUACCAAAAGCGAAGGCAAUCUUCUGGAACACUACUGACGCUGAGGCGCGAAAGCGUGGGGAGCAAACAGGAUUAGAUACCCUAGUAGUCC
RNAcentral lists this ribosomal RNA (274 nucleotides) under uncultured bacterium. RNAcentral describes it as "partial 16S ribosomal RNA". It matches the Rfam family "Bacterial small subunit ribosomal RNA", at positions 523 to 796 of the family's 1533-position model. The record is from RNAcentral.